This 121-nucleotide small nucleolar RNA is filed under the name Echinops telfairi (small Madagascar hedgehog). Its description in RNAcentral is "Small nucleolar RNA SNORA61 (ENSETEG00000025796.1)". The record is from RNAcentral. Lineage: Eukaryota; Metazoa; Chordata; Mammalia; Afrosoricida; Tenrecidae.
ACCCUCCAUAGUCCUUACCCCUCAAAUCUAAAGAUCGGUCAGAGCGGCUUAAAAAGGAGGAAACGGAAAACUGAGGCAGACUUGGGGUCUUUAAUGUCUUACAAGUUCAUUUAAAACAUUA